UGUUGGGGCUGGUAAAGCUGGGCUAGUCCCCAGACAGUCCUGUGUGAGCUGCCUCCCCACCCCCGCCCAUCCCGCUAUAGGGAAGCCCCGCUUAACCCCCUGAGAGGUGGACCAGGCCGCAGGACAGCAAGGAGCCACCGUGCAGGGCGAAGCCCAGGCCGCCUGCGCAUCCACCCCCAGGCCGGCCCUUCUCCUCCCCUCAGAGCCAAUCAGAGCAGCAGAGGAGGCUCCAGCAGCAGACACAGCGGCAUCAAAUCUGUGCUCAACUAAAAAUGACUCUCCAGGAGGAAACCUGUCCCAUAGCAGGACAGGGAUAAAGGGAAGAGCCUAGAAGGGGAACAAGCUGAAAUGGACCGCAUCACCUGAAAACUCAGCACUGGGGAGCCAAGCUCUAUCCCUCUGAUGGACGAGGGCGGAAACCAGCUCUAUCUGUUGGGGAGGACUGGACUCCACAGCCCAAGUUGGUUCCCACCUGCCCCUCCCCUCCCCCUUUCCCGUGUCACUGUCCCCAUCUUCUUCUCUCCCUCCAUCUUCUUUAGAGACCUUUUGACACCCAAAACUGGUGGUGGCAGCCCCUCCCAUGCCCACCUUGACUGUAACCUGCAUCGUCUUUUCCAUCUGAUGUCCUUGGACGAGAUUUCCUCCAUAUUUCUCUCCAGCACCGCCCAACCCACAGCUGCAGCCUCUGCCUCUUCACCAGCCACCACACCACCCCCUAGCUUUUGAAAGAUGUUUUACAGGCAAAAUUUCCCAAGAAUUCUCGAAAAAUAGUAAAUUGCUAGUCACCCAAAGAAUCUAGGAAAUUUUCUUCGGCUCUUUGAUAGAAAAAAUUUUACUGCCACAGUCAAAUCAUUUGCUUGCUUCUCAUUUUUCUCCUCAUGCUAGAAUAUAAGUGCCCAGAAAGCAGCCCAUUUGUUUGACUUCACUUCUGUGUCCUGGAAGUUGCCUGGCAUAAAGCAGAGCCCAGUACUAUCUGCUGAGGGAUAGAGGAAACUUAUCUUGACUUGGGUCAAGUUCAGUAGCCCCGUGCAUUUGAGACUACAUCACUCAUUUGAGACGUCGCUCUCCACACAAAAUGUGGUGAUGCAAUA
Long non-coding RNA from Bubalus bubalis (water buffalo), 1091 nucleotides. RefSeq lists it as uncharacterized. The record is from RefSeq and is a predicted model, not a curated record. Lineage: Eukaryota; Metazoa; Chordata; Mammalia; Artiodactyla; Bovidae. The transcript has 2 exons.